Molecule: ribosomal RNA, 492 nt
Filed under: uncultured bacterium
Lineage: Bacteria
Description: partial 16S ribosomal RNA
Rfam family: Bacterial small subunit ribosomal RNA
Source: RNAcentral
AGUGAACGCUGGCGGUAGGCCUGACACAUGCAAGUCGAACGGCAGCACAGUAAGAGCUUGCUCUUACGGGUGGCGAGUGGCGGACGGGUGAGGAAUACAUCGGAAUCUACUUUUUCGUGGGGGAUAACGUAGGGAAACUUACGCUAAUACCGCAUACGACCUACGGGUGAAAGCAGGGGAUCUUCGGACCUUGCGCGAUUGAAUGAGCCGAUGUCGGAUUAGCUAGUUGGCGGGGUAAAGGCCCACCAAGGCGACGAUCCGUAGCUGGUCUGAGAGGAUGAUCAGCCACACUGGAACUGAGACACGGUCCAGACUCCUACGGGAGGCAGCAGUGGGGAAUAUUGGACAAUGGGCGCAAGCCUGAUCCAGCCAUACCGCGUGGGUGAAGAGGGCCUUCGGGUUGUAAAGCCCUUUUGUUGGGAAAGAAAAGCAGCAGGUUAAUACCCCGCUGUUCUGACGGUACCCAAAGAAUAAGCACCGGCUAACUUCGUG